GGAUUAUGGCUCAGUGGUAAAGCACUUGCCUAGCAUGUAUGAGGCACUGUGUUCAAGCCUCAGCACCA
Molecule: transfer RNA, 68 nt
Filed under: Marmota monax (woodchuck)
Lineage: Eukaryota; Metazoa; Chordata; Mammalia; Rodentia; Sciuridae
Description: tRNA.Ala
Source: RNAcentral